CCCACUGUCAGGAUGACAAGAGGGAUUAACGGCCCUGGAUGGGUGGUUGGCGGUCGAUCUCAGGCAGAGCCCACCCUGGUCGCUGAGGCAGGCUGUAGUAUCAGAAGACAGGAGGCCAAGUAAGACAGAUGCAGGAGCUACGCGAGAAAGCCCAGUGUGACGCCUCAGUUUCCCCUUCUCAGUCAGUCUGCACAUCAUCCGGUACAUUUUUUCCCAGCCAAAACCCCAGAUGCUCCUCGGUUCUCUGCAGCCUCUCCCCAGGCUCUUCCCUGGUUCUGCCUCCAGGAUGGCAGCGCUGGCUGCACUCUCCGCCUCUGCCUCCCUCAGCAGCCUCCCGACAGACAGCAGAGACCCCGUUAGCAGGCAGAUCAGGCUGCCUGCUCAGCACUUCAGUGGGGCUCAUUUCAUCCGCAGAAUCCCAACUCCCCACCCUGAGCUGUGAUCCAAAGCUGUGGCAUCCCUGCCGUGUGGUGGACACUGCUCCUAAACACUUGGAGGACAAGAGCCAACCGAAGCAGAAGCCAGCCCUGCCUCCUCGAGGGACUCACAUUCUCCCACAGAGGGAAUCUGCAGCCAGCUGACCUUCACUGUGAGCGAACGCAGGACGUAAGGCAACUUGGGGGAGGAAGCGCUCCCUCGCUUGGGCUCAGUUUUGGGGUCUCACUCCAUGGCUGCUUGGCCCCGCUGCUCUGGGUCGGGUGGCCCAGCACCUCAUGGGGGAGUGGGGAAGAGGUCAAGCUGGCAAAGUCCCCCCGAGGCCGAGCCCCAGUGACCCAGCUGCCUCCCCAGGCCCCACCUUCUGAGACCCCCAACAGGCUCGCUGGAGACUGCGCUUCUCACACACGGACUUUAGGGAAGGCCCAGGUGCGCACUGCGGCAGGAGUUGACAUGCAGCACACUUAAGGACAGGCAGAGAGAUGAAGGCAGGAUGCCGACCCUGGGCGCCGCAUGGAGCUGAGAGGAGCUGCAGUGCGGAGAAACGGGGACAGCCCAACGCCUGCAGGCCGGAGGGCAUCCGGGUUCCAGGGACCAGCAAGAGACCACGUGGAAGCAAGGAGCAGCAGCAGAUUCUGAGGGGCGGACUGUGCUCAGGUGGUACUCUUGACAGAGACGGAAA
This 1117-nucleotide long non-coding RNA is filed under the name Heterocephalus glaber (naked mole-rat). RNAcentral describes it as "lncRNA (ENSHGLG00100041836.1)". The record is from RNAcentral. Lineage: Eukaryota; Metazoa; Chordata; Mammalia; Rodentia; Bathyergidae.